RNAcentral lists this ribosomal RNA (792 nucleotides) under uncultured archaeon. RNAcentral describes it as "partial 16S ribosomal RNA". It matches the Rfam family "Archaeal small subunit ribosomal RNA", at positions 85 to 879 of the family's 1478-position model. The record is from RNAcentral.
ACGGCUCAGUAACACGUAGCUAACCUGCCCUAAGGUAGAAAAUAAGGUCGGGAAACUGACUCUAAUGUUCUAUAGAAAAUAAAUUCUGGAAUGGAUUAUUUUUCAAACUUGAGCCUUAGGAUGGGGCUGCGGCUGAUUAGGUAGUUGGCGGGGUAAUGGCCCACCAAGCCAAUGAUCAGUAAGGGCUCUUAGCGGAGAAGCCCUGAGAGGGAAUCUGAGACACUAUUCCCAGCCCUACGGGGUGCAGCAGUCGAGGAACUUUUGCAAUGCACGCAAGUGUGGCAAAGCAAGCCAGAGUGUUUCUCUAAUAAUUGAGAAACUUUUGUGAGAUGUAAAAAGUCUCACGAAUAAGGACUGGGCAAGACCGGUGCCAGCCGCCGCGGUAAUACCGGCAGUCCAAGUAGCAGCCACAUUUAUUGGGUCUAAAACAUCCGUAGCUUGUUAGGUAAGUCUCUUGUGAAAUCUGGCUCCUUAAGGGUCGGGCGUGCAAGAGAUACUGCUUAACUAGAGACCGGGAGACGUAAAGAGAACAGAUUGGGUAGCGGUCAAAUGUGUUGAUCCUUUCUGGACUAACAAUAGCGAAGGCACUUUACGAUAGCGGAUCUGACAGUGAGGGAUGAAGGCUAAGGUCGCGAAGCGGAUUAGAUACCCGUGUAGUCUUAGCAGUAAACCCUGCACACUAAACAUUGGGACCUCUUCGAGAGGUUUCAGUGCUGAAGGGAAGCCGGAGAGUGUGCUACCUGGGAAGUAUAGUCGCAAGACCGAAACUUAAAGGAAUUGGCGGGGGAGCAC